Long non-coding RNA from Toxotes jaculatrix (banded archerfish), 327 nucleotides. RefSeq lists it as uncharacterized. The record is from RefSeq and is a predicted model, not a curated record. The transcript is spliced from 3 exons. Lineage: Eukaryota; Metazoa; Chordata; Actinopteri; Toxotidae.
GAAGGUGUGUGUAUUUACCCUCGUCACAAUAGGUGUCCUCCAGACAGAAGCUGGCUUUGUGUCCCUCUGCCACUUUGGUGCCAUUCAGACUCAGCAAGUCAUAGUGGGUGAAAACCUCCAUACUAUGCAUUUACAGCAGGAGCACAGGGGAGAAAGCCUAAUUGCCAGCAAGAUAUAGGGAUUUUCAGGACAGCCGGCUAUGGACUGGUGUGCAGCCCGCGGCCUGAAGUCUGACUGGCCGUUGUUGUGGAUCUGGGAGGAGAAGCGGAGAAGGCGGCGGUAGGAGCUGGGGUCGGCUUUGUCAGCAGUGCUGGAAAGGCAGUUCUC